AGUGAACGCUGGCGGUAGGCCUAACACAUGCAAGUCGAACGGCAGCACAGUAAGAGCUUGCUCUUACGGGUGGCGAGUGGCGGACGGGUGAGGAAUACAUCGGAAUCUACUUUUUCGUGGGGGAUAACGUAGGGAAACUUACGCUAAUACCGCAUACGACCUACGGGUGAAAGCAGGGGAUCUUCGGACCUUGCGCGAUUGAAUGAGCCGAUGUCGGAUUAGCUAGUUGGCGGGGUAAAGGCCCACCAAGGCGACGAUCCGUAGCUGGUCUGAGAGGAUGAUCAGCCACACUGGAACUGAGACACGGUCCAGACUCCUACGGGAGGCAGCAGUGGGGAAUAUUGGACAAUGGGCGCAAGCCUGAUCCAGCCAUACCGCGUGGGUGAAGAAGGCCUUCGGGUUGUAAAGCCCUUUUGUUGGGAAAGAAAAGCAGCAGGUUAAUACCCCGCUGUUCCGACGGUACCAAAAGAAUAAGCACCGGCUAACUUCGUG
RNAcentral lists this ribosomal RNA (492 nucleotides) under uncultured bacterium. RNAcentral describes it as "partial 16S ribosomal RNA". It matches the Rfam family "Bacterial small subunit ribosomal RNA", at positions 29 to 507 of the family's 1533-position model. The record is from RNAcentral.